Long non-coding RNA from Xiphophorus hellerii (green swordtail), 2249 nucleotides. RefSeq lists it as uncharacterized. Lineage: Eukaryota; Metazoa; Chordata; Actinopteri; Cyprinodontiformes; Poeciliidae. The transcript is spliced from 2 exons. The record is from RefSeq and is a predicted model, not a curated record.
AUCUCUGUUCCUCUGCAGUUUUGUUGUUGAGUCAUACGUUGCUUUGUAUGGGAUUAAACUCUGUAAUUCUGUGACGUCAACACGCAUUGUUGUUUUUCCUUGUGGCCGCACGUCGCCCGCUGAGAGUACCUGGGAUCUAGAGGAAGAGAGAGCGAAACUUUUUUCCAAAGUUAAUUUAUAAAUUAUUCUUCCUUAACAUUUGGGGGCUCGUGCCGGUUCUGGAAUUUUGGCGGGUGGCUGUUCGUCCCGGAUCGAUCUGUUUCGGCCCGACGGUUCGGUGCGGUAAGACACUAUUUAAUUACUUUUUGGUCGUCUGCAGCGCCGUGUGGCCGGGCCAGAGCUGAUAGUUGUCGGUGUGUGCGGCCACACAUAGUUUAGAAGCUACAGAGGUAUAUAGAUUUUUCCUAAAAGAGUCUGUUGUUUAGAAAUUUGAAUAAAUACACAUUACAGGGGAUAGUGGCGGAUCCAGGCAGAAGGAGUUUACGUUACCUCUGUCCUAAAGCUGGGUUUCUUAUUUAUGUUCUUUUCCCGGAGGAUCAAUGCCUGGGCCUCUUUAAAAAAGAAUUUUGGAAGUUGUGUAUUCAGGUAGUUUGGGCUUGAAUCAGCCCGGAGAUUUUGACUCAUCUCCAGUGGACUUAUAAUUGGACCGAGUUGUAUCACUCGUGGAAAACAAAGGACUAAAAUAGGUUGUAUCACCUUUUUCUGUGGUAGAAAAUUAAGGACUAAGAGUGCAGUUGGGAAAAUGAUACAUCUUACAUUCUUGUUGCCGGCGCCUUAUUUUUUAUUUUUUCCUCUCUGUUUUUUACAUUUGUCUGAAACUGUGUUUGUGUUCUCUGUAUUUCUCUCUCUGUGUGUGUGUGUGCUGAUUGCUCUGAGUGGAACGUUGUGUUUGAAAAGCGCUGUUUGUGUGGAUUUGAGUUUAUUUUUGCUGCAUUUUUAUUGUAAAGUUAUUUUGGACACUGAGUUGCAAAAGAUGUUAUAGGCCAUUCCUAUGGUCAGGGUCCGUGGAAAACUCUGGCGGGGACUGAAUGGUAAAGUAAUUCUUCCUCCAAAUAUGAGAAUCCAGGUUCUUCAGGAAGCUCACGGACUCGGACAGAUCCUGGCAGUGGAAGUUCAAAAAUACCAGACGACACAGGAACGUCUAGGCUCAGGACCAGUUCCAGGAAUCGACUGGGUGCGCCUGAAGGUCAUCAAAAGAAAGUGGUCUGAACCUCGCUUCACCGGACCAUACAGAGUCGUGGAGAGGACGUCUCAUGCUGUCCGUCUACAAGGGAAAGGAGACACCUGGUUCCAUUGGAGUCAGUGCACAGCAGCCGAGGAGCCACAACGCGCGCUCCGAGACAUACAAGAAGAUCUGCAGCUUCAAUCUUCGGACGAGGAGCAUCUCCAGGCACUUCCAGGAACCGAGGAGGAUCUGCAGUUCCAGGAGGGAGUGUAGCAGGGAUUCCUGCCACGACCACUUCAUAUUCCUGAAAUUCAAGGCUUAAAAGGCUCGAACAGGCACAAUAAUCCUGUUCCGAUGUCCUUUCAUUGAGAAAAGGAGAUUUCACCCUCUCCUUAAAACUCACUGUUAUAUUGGCAUAAUAAUCCAAUUUUCAGUGAGCGACGGACGCUCAGGUGGAAACCUGAGGUUUACAACCGAGGAGGAAGACGGGUACACGAAGGAUCAGGCUACAGGAGGAUCAACAUUAACUUCUCUUUUUAUUGCGUGUUUUCGUUUUUGCGAACUCUAAAAGAACUUCUGUUUCUUUUUUGCGCGUAUUUUUUGAUCAUUUCCUGACGAAGACUUCAUAUUUUGUUUUUUGUGGGACUAUCAAAGGACAUUGAAUUGAGAAGAAAAAAAAAAAAAAGUAUUUUGUAAUUUUUAUGUGUUUAUGAUUUUUUGACAAAUUGUAAUUUUGUGGCGAAUAUUGUCUUUUAAGUUUGCAGAGCAUUUCUUAGUAAUUUUUAUAUAUAUAUCGUUGUCUUAUUUUUUGCAUUUUCUACUUUGGGCUGUUGUUUGUACUGUGUUUUUGGUUGUAUUGUGAUAAUUGAGUUUUAUGAUUUUUCAUAUUUUUAAAAUGAUAGGUAUUUCUUACUCUUAGUUUUUACUGUUUAAAUAGGGGGACUGUUAUAUAAUUAGGCUACUCUUUUAGUUUUUUUUUUAGUAUACUACAUAGUUUUUGGUUCCUCUAUUAGAAGGCUUAAUCAAUUUUUUGUGAGGUCUGUGUGUCUCAGACCUCAAAAGGGGGACUGUUGAGGAAAAAUGA